UCGGCUGGGCAGCGUUUACCUCGGGCGGCCCCCGGCAGCGACUGGCAGCUCCAGCUCCUAGGCUCAGAGGUGGCCAGGUGGCUCUGUGCGCUUUCCCUGCCUGCAAGUGCUGCCCCGGCAGCUCCCAUUGGCUGUGCCUCCGGGCCAAUGGGAGCGGUGGAGUCGGGGCAGGGCAUGGGGGGCAGCCUGCGGAGACCGCCUGCGCCUAAGCGCUGCACAUGCUGGCCACGUCUGGGAGCCGCAUGGAGCCAGGGCAGGUAGGGAGCCUGCCUUAGCCCUGCUGCACCGCUGACCGGACUUUUGGCCGAUUGUAAUCUCCCAGAUUGCUUUUAAUAGUCACUUGGGGAUUGAGGCCGAUUCCGGUAGACUCUUGGCCAAUCCGGGAGGGCUGACAACCUUAAAUUGGACCCAUAACACUGGCUGCGGCCACCCUGGCUCUAACACACACAGCAUUGUGUGUACCUGACAAACCCAAACCCUGCCAGAGCCAAGCACUGGGCUUAACGCACCUCCUCACCCUGGGAAUGGAGAGGAGAAGGAGUGAAUCACAGGUGGCAGAUCUUGGUUGCCUUGCCUGAUGCACUGCUGGAAGGCUCUCUGGAUAUGCCUUAGGCUUAAAUACUAGCUUUGGUAUAGACACUACCUAUGCCCACAGGGAGGGAUUCCAAUCAAUUGACAAGCCUGAAAGUUUCCCCUUGGUUGCUCCCUGAGUUGCCACACUGGGAUUAAUUCUCACUUUAAGGAAAAAAAAAUGAUGUGGUAACUUUUUAUAUAAUUUUAAAUCAGGAAAAUAGUCUACUCAAGACUUCACAUGUUUUCUGACAACAGUGGGACCUAAGAGUUAUCUUCUUAGCAGCCUGCCUUUGCAGGACCAAUCUCUCUGUUUCUCCUCUAAUCUAGUGGAUGCCAUUGUCAUGGUUGUGGCUGCUGCAGGCAUAGUAUCUACUGCAUUGACGAUAUUUACUACUCCAGUAAUCCUGAGAUUUUGGAAGCAGUCCUGAGGACCUGAGAAAUCUAGAAUCUUGAGUUUUAAACCAAAAGCCUGAAAAUAUGCGGAGCUAGAGCUGAAGAAGAAGCUUACUAGGAGCUAGUGAACAGGAGCAGCUAACAGAGGAAUUUUGCGAGGGACUUCUCCAGGUGAAGAAGGAGCGAUUACAUGACCCUUAGGAUCUUCAACCAAUUUCUCCCAUUUCAUGCCAGUGAAGAGAUUUUAUUUGGGACCAAUAUGAAAAUCCCCUCUGAUUCUGGAGACAC
Non-coding RNA from Caretta caretta (loggerhead turtle), 1254 nucleotides. The record is from RefSeq and is a predicted model, not a curated record. NCBI's taxonomy places the organism in Eukaryota, Metazoa, Chordata, Testudines, Cheloniidae.